UGCUCCAAUAGCGUAUAUUAAAGUUGUUGCAGUUAAAAAGCUCGUAGUUGGAUUUCGGGGCGGCCUGGCUGGUCCGCCGCGAGGCGAGCACUGGUCAGCCGCCCUUCCUCUCGAAAGCCCCGACUGCUCUUCACUGCAGUGGUCGGGUAGUUCGGGACGUUUACUUUGAAAAAAUUAGAGUGUUCAAGGCAGGCUCGCCAGCUUGAAUACAUGAGCAUGGAAUAAUGGAAUAGGACUACGGUCCCUAUUUCGUUGGUUUGACGGACCGAAGUAAUGAUUAAGAGGGACAAUUGGGGGCAUCCGUAUUUCGUAGUCAGAGGUGAAAUUCUUGGACCUACGAAAGACGAACAACUGCGAAAGCAUUUGCCAAGAGUGUUUUCAUUAAUCAAGAACGAAAGUA
RNAcentral lists this ribosomal RNA (400 nucleotides) under phytoplankton environmental sample. Its description in RNAcentral is "partial small subunit ribosomal RNA". It matches the Rfam family "Eukaryotic small subunit ribosomal RNA", at positions 587 to 991 of the family's 1831-position model. The record is from RNAcentral.